This 444-nucleotide ribosomal RNA is filed under the name uncultured bacterium. RNAcentral describes it as "bacterial SSU rRNA". It matches the Rfam family "Bacterial small subunit ribosomal RNA", at positions 16 to 507 of the family's 1533-position model. The record is from RNAcentral.
AUCAUGGCUCAGAACGAACGCUGGCGGCAUGCCUAACACAUGCAAGUCGAACGAAGGCUUCGGCCUUAGUGGCGCACGGGUGCGUAACGCGUGGGAACCUGCCCCUCGGUUCGGAAUAACAGUUAGAAAUGACUGCUAAUACCGGAUGAUGACUUCGGUCCAAAGAUUUAUCGCCGAGGGAUGGGCCCGCGUAGGAUUAGCUAGUUGGUGGGGUAAAGGCCUACCAAGGCGACGAUCCUUAGCUGGUCUGAGAGGAUGAUCAGCCACACUGGGACUGAGACACGGCCCAGACUCCUACGGGAGGCAGCAGUGGGGAAUAUUGGACAAUGGGCGAAAGCCUGAUCCAGCAAUGCCGCGUGAGUGAUGAAGGCCUUAGGGUUGUAAAGCUCUUUACCAGGGAUGAUAAUGACAGUACCUGGAGAAUAAGCUCCGGCUAACUCCGUG